GGUGGCUACAGGGUGUGGGUUUGUUGGUGCUGUGGGAAUUUGGGGGGCCUUAAGAAAUGUAAAGUUUGUCCCUUUGCUGAAUUCUGAGAAAGAGCAUGCUUUCCCGUGCUAAUCAACCCACCUUGCCACCUAGCACUUUUUUCUGUUAAGAGUUUUUUUCGUCAGCUCUUUCUCAAGUCUCAGUUUCCUGCAGUGAUGGAUUCCUACAAUGUUUAAGUUCAACAAUUCUGUUCUGGAUAAUAUAUAGCCAACCAGCUGUCAGGCUGAGGACAUCUCACCCUGCUACCAGAUUAGAUUACAUGAAGUAACAAGAUAUCUGUCAUAGAUUCAUAGCAGAGCACAGUCAUCGCUCAUAAAGUAAGUUUAGGCUGGAUGUUAUUGUCAACCUAUACUGUUACUGGCAAUCCUUUUUUUGUUUAAGACAAAGUUGAUUCAGAGUUGGUUCCUGAGAUAAUCUGUUGUGUCCCUUUGCAUAAUUCUGAGUCUGGAUGUCCUAAAAGGACAUAGAUGCUAGCAUUAUCUUUUGGAAGCCUUUCUUUCGACAGUGUUUAUGACUAGCUUUAGUCGGUUGGUGCCUCUUUCCUUGAAGGAUGGCUGAUGACUCCUACGAUUUGGACUGGCACAUGGAAUCUUGUGCUGUGACAUUUUCAAGAGAAAUGGCGCUUUGUACUGCUAGCAGGAAGAGUCAUUGUCCACUCUCUAUACUAUCUUAUCCUUUCCUUGCUGACGAAAUAAAACCGUGUAUUUGAUCUUCACAGGGGAAUGGAUAUGAAUGACAAAGACGCAAUGGCAGUGAGACAGACCAUGGAUCCUGGUGGCUGCAUUUCAGCGUCAUCCAGUGCCACAUGGCUUGAACGCACCUCUACACAAAUUGUCCGAUUUCCAUGGCCAUUCAUUGAUGUUCAUCCCUGGACUGCCCAUUGCCUCCACAGAAAAGAUGAGAAAUGCCUUCUGGCACCAAUAGGGACCCCAAUGAAUCAGCUUCAGAGACAAGACCAGACACGCAGCCGUGGCGUGUUGCCGUUCUCUGCACUCCGAGACGAACCAUCCGCUGCGCGGACCACCAGCGGACAGAGAUAGCUACGAUCGCGCAUGAAUUGAGUGAUCAAAGAUUUGUGAUGUGUGCGGAUGCAGCAAGUUGUCCUACGCAACUGCAUGCACCAAUGCAUGUGGGGUUCAGUGUUUGUACGUGACCCAUAUCCCUAUCUACUAAAGGGGACAAGCCGUCAAUGGCACUGUCCGUUCGCCAUGUGAGCGAACUGUUGUCGGGCAAGGCGAAGACGGCUGAAGGACGACGCCGGUUUUUCUGUAAACUGUGGGUCGGUAUACAGGGAACUGUUGGUACUUUGCCAUGAGGUCACAGGAUUUUCAGGGCCUGCAGGAAACUUUUGAUAUGAGCUAAUGAAUGUGGUGGCCGCAGCUCACAUGAUUACGGUGAUCCUUGUCCUACCGCAGUAUUUGGCUGCUGCAUUAUCAUCGUCAUCACUCGCCUGUGAAUUUAUGAGGUUUUGUCACUUGCUGACAGAUCAAGCUGGCAUACUGCACUUCUGUUGGAAAACAAAAAGAUGAAAGUUUAUAAAGA
This is a long non-coding RNA of Phragmites australis (common reed), 1582 nucleotides long. RefSeq lists it as uncharacterized. The record is from RefSeq and is a predicted model, not a curated record. Lineage: Eukaryota; Viridiplantae; Streptophyta; Magnoliopsida; Poales; Poaceae. The transcript is spliced from 4 exons.